GGAGAGAUGCUGGAGCGGUUGAACAGGCACGCCUGGAAAGCGUGUGAUGGGGAAACCUGUCCGAGGGUUCGAAUCCCUCUCUCUCCGCCA
This 90-nucleotide transfer RNA is filed under the name Candidatus Desantisbacteria bacterium CG2_30_40_21. RNAcentral's name for it is "tRNA-Ser". It matches the Rfam family "tRNA". Rfam says of the family: Transfer RNA (tRNA) molecules are approximately 80 nucleotides in length. Their secondary structure includes four short double-helical elements and three loops (D, anti-codon, and T loops). Further hydrogen bonds mediate the characteristic L-shaped molecular structure. tRNAs have two regions of fundamental functional importance: the anti-codon, which is responsible for specific mRNA codon recognition, and the 3' end, to which the tRNAs corresponding amino acid is attached (by aminoacyl-tRNA synthetases). tRNAs cope with the degeneracy of the genetic code in two manners: having more than one tRNA (with a specific anti-codon) for a particular amino acid; and 'wobble' base-pairing, i.e. permitting non-standard base-pairing at the 3rd anti-codon position. RNAcentral also lists the same sequence under 5 other names. The record is from RNAcentral. Lineage: Bacteria; Candidatus Desantisiibacteriota.